CCUCUGCUGCCAAAAUGGACUUGCCAUAAGCCUGCACUUCUUGAGCUAGGAAUUAUCUUGUCCUUUACUGGCUGUCUGGCCGCCAUGUUCUAAUGAAGGGGUUGACAUGGUUUAUGGUCAAAACCACGCCGAAGGUUAUUCCGACCCGAAAAAUUAACCAUGUCCAACUUUUUAUUCAACUGUAUGCCCCUAGGUAGCUAACUGACUGUUUAUUCACUCACUGUAUAUUCUCUUAUUUAAAUUCCAGAUUUUCUCUGUUUAUCUCUUACUAUGACUUUUAGACACUGCACCCUCUAUAAUGAAGGUCUGGAGGGGUUACCCCAGCUAAGAAAAUGUGGAAUUAAUGGUUCAUUUGCCCCCGGGAUUUAGCAGCGUGCAGGCUACCCCUAGCAUAAAUACUGAGUAUCUAAGAGUCUCUACUAUUUUCAGUAGAGAUGCUGCUGAUUGAAUUAUCCGAGAUAUCUGUAUUCAUUACAAUAGAUCAGAAUAUUAUACAGUUUAAUAUAUCAAUAUCGUUGCUUCAAGCUGCUCAGUUCUGUAUGUGAAUACAGCUAUAUCUAUAUCUGAGAAUAGUCAAGAACGGAGG
This 586-nucleotide small RNA is filed under the name Histoplasma capsulatum var. duboisii H88. RNAcentral's name for it is "Histoplasma capsulatum H88 hypothetical RNA". Lineage: Eukaryota; Fungi; Ascomycota; Eurotiomycetes; Onygenales; Ajellomycetaceae. The record is from RNAcentral.